Molecule: long non-coding RNA, 1243 nt
Organism: Cuculus canorus (common cuckoo)
Lineage: Eukaryota; Metazoa; Chordata; Aves; Cuculiformes; Cuculidae
Exons: 3
Source: RefSeq, a predicted model, not a curated record
UGCCCAGAGGAGGCGGAGAUGUCCCAUCCCUGGAGGUGUUCAAGGCCAGGUUGGAUGGGGCUUUGAGCAACCUGAUCCAGUAGGAGGGGUCCCUGCCGGUGGUAAAGGAGGUUGGAACUGGGUAGGCUUUCAAGUCCCUCCAAUCCAAACCAUUCCAUGACUCUAAAAGAGGGUGAAAUGCUAACUUUGGUGAAAAAUUUGGGCUUCAGCCCUGGAUCCUGUAGCAAGUCCUCUGAGUACUUCUUGGUAAGAGCAUAGCUAAAGCUGGGUAGACUCUUGGCACCCAGGGGAAACACUUUCCUGCUUGGAUUUGUGCUGCGUUUUGCAGUGGAUCAGUACAUGAAGCUCUCUCCUUUACAUCAGCAGAAAUUUCACGUGUGGAAAUUCAAGAGCCGGGUUGUUGCAGCCAAGACUGAACGCUGGGUCUGAGCCCUCCUGCUGUGGCAGCUGUCCCUCUGCCCACAAAGCAGAUGCACACCCUGGUUUGGGGCGCAUGGACUCCAGACCAGCACUGGCUCAGGAGAUCAACAUCUUAUUUCCCUGCUUGUCAUUUGCUGUUUUCUGUUCUCCUGCGGGCUGCAUGCAGACAGAUCCUUGAUAAAGAGAAUGGAGCGGUGCCUGCUGAGAUAAAGCUUGCAGCCUGUAGGUACUGUAUCCCCCUUGCAGACACGAGCUUGGGCCGUGAAGAUCUGUGGGGAGGCAGGACAGGCAGAAGAAACCUAUGGGCCACAGUUGCUUGAGGAGAAAGGCGGCUGCGGAGCCAACUGAGUGCCUGGCAUGAGGCAGCAGAGCUGGGAUGCUCUGCCUUCAGCCACCCUCUCUUCCUCGUCACAGAGCGUUCAGAUUCUGUUGCACGCAAGAUAGCUCUAUUUUUACUGGCAAAAAGACAACCAUACAAAAUAAAGUCUCUUCAACUCUCUUUGUCUGUCUUCCUAAUGAACUUCAAGUCAUUAAGAUUGAGGAUGAGGUGCACACUUGCCAAUUUCCAAUGCAGAUCAUUUUUCAGAAAGCAAAAGCUUCUGUUCUUUUUCUUCAGAAGGAUAAGUGAAAUGUGCCUAUACUGGGACAAGAGACUAUAAACGAAGCUGAAAUAAUGAAAGAUCACUCAAAAAUUAUCCACGCUUCAGAAAUAUUUCCACUUGCAUUUGUAACGCUGAAGGAAGUAGAGUUUUAUGUAAGAAACAGGCUGCAGAAUAAGGACAUCUAUGUCCCAGUCCUAUCUCUGACCUAAACUUCUAAAUAA